RNAcentral lists this transfer RNA (69 nucleotides) under Pyrops spinolae. Its description in RNAcentral is "tRNA-Trp". The record is from RNAcentral. Lineage: Eukaryota; Metazoa; Arthropoda; Insecta; Hemiptera; Fulgoridae.
AAGGAUUUAAGUUAAAGAAACUAUUAACCUUCAAAGUUGAAAUUACUUGAAACAAAAAAGUAAGCCUUG